RNAcentral lists this ribosomal RNA (253 nucleotides) under uncultured bacterium. Its description in RNAcentral is "partial 16S ribosomal RNA". It matches the Rfam family "Bacterial small subunit ribosomal RNA", at positions 524 to 776 of the family's 1533-position model. The record is from RNAcentral.
UACGUAGGGUGCGAGCGUUAAUCGGAAUUACUGGGCGUAAAGCGCACGCAGGUGGCUGAGAAAGUCGAUUGUGAAAGCCCUGGGCUUAACCUGGGAAUUGCAGUCGAAACUACUCGGCUAGAGUAUGGGAGAGGACAGUGGAAUUCCCGGUGUAGCGGUGAAAUUCGUAGAUAUUCGCAAGAACACCAGUGGCGAAGGCGGCUCACUGGCCCGGUACUGACGCUGAGGUGCGAAAGCGUGGGGAGCAAACAGG